RNAcentral lists this ribosomal RNA (2103 nucleotides) under Triticum aestivum (bread wheat). RNAcentral's name for it is "partial small subunit ribosomal RNA". The record is from RNAcentral. Lineage: Eukaryota; Viridiplantae; Streptophyta; Magnoliopsida; Poales; Poaceae.
AUGUCUCUUGUAAUGAAUUUAUGUUUGAACUUGAAAUUUCACAUGCUAAUAGAAUAUCACCCUCCUAAACUUUCGAACUUGAUAUUUUACCAUUGCAACUUGGUUUCCGCCAAAUAUUCUCUCCUGGAAAGGCCCGUGCAUUUGAACCACCUGCUAUCUGUAAGUGGCGCGAGUGACAGUGAGACAGUGAGCCUCGUUUUCCUCGCCAGCCCGAUCUAUCUCCCCUUCUCCCACAGUCCACUCGCCUCGCCUCUGCUUGUCCGCAUGGCGGCGGCGCAAGGCGAGCGGCCGCUGUACAAGGACGCGUCGGCGCCGGUGGAGGCUCGGGUGCGCGACCUGCUGGGCCGCAUGACGCUGCGGGAGAAGGCGGCCCAGAUGGCCCAGAUCGAGCGCACCGUGGUGUCGCCCCGCGCCCUCGCGGAGCUCGCCGCUGGCAGCGUCCUCAACGCCGGCGGCAGCGCGCCCCACGACCGCGCCUCCCCGGCCGACUGGGCCCGCAUGGUCGACGACAUGCAGCGCCUCGCCCUCUCCUCCCGCCUCGCCGUCCCCAUCCUCUACGGCACCGACGCCGUCCACGGCCACAACAACGUCUUCGGCGCCACCGUCUUCCCCCACAACGUCGGCCUCGGGGCCUCCAGGGAUGCGGAGCUCGUGCGGAAGAUCGGCGAGGCGACGGCGCUCGAGGUCCGCGCCACCGGCAUCCACUGGGCCUUCGCACCCUGCGUCGCCGUCUGUAGGGAUCCGAGGUGGGGGAGAUGCUACGAGAGCUACAGCGAGGACCCGGAGAUCGUGCGCUCGUUGACCACGAUUGUCACUGGCCUGCAGGGCCAGACACCGGCAGACCACCCUCACGGUUACCCGUUCCUCGCUUCGGUCAGGGACAAUGUGCUUGCUUGUGCCAAGCAUUUCGUAGGGGAUGGUGGCACUGACAAGGGGGUCAAUGAGGGGAAUGCCAUUUGCUCGACGGAGGAUUUGGAGAGGAUCCACACGAAACCAUACCCUGAUUGCAUAGCUCAAGGGGUGGCGACAGUCAUGGCAUCCUACUCUCAGUGGAACGGGGAGCCGUUACAUGCCAGCCGCCAUUUGCUCACGGAUGUUCUAAAGGGCAAGUUAGGCUUCGAGGGGUUUGUGGUGUCAGACUGGGAGGGUAUUGACAGGCUUUGUGAGCCUCGAGGGUCUGAUUAUCGCUAUUGCGUCGCGCAAUCAGUUAAUGCUGGGAUGGAUAUGAUUAUGAUACCUCACAGAUUUGAGAAAUUCUUGGAAGAUCUUGUGUUCUUGGUGGAGACAGGGGAGAUACCAAUGUCACGAAUUGAUGAUGCUGUUGAGAGGAUUCUAAGGGUUAAGUUCAUAUCUGGAGUGUUUGAGCAUCCAUUUUCAGAUCCGUCUCUACUAGAUGUAGUUGGUUGUAAGGAGCAUCGGCUGCUGGCACGUGAGGCUGUUCGAAAGUCUUUGGUACUUCUGAAAAAUGGCAAGAAGCAGAAUUUCCUUCCAUUGGCAAAAAAUGCAAAAAGAAUACUCGUUGCAGGGACACAUGCUGACAAUAUUGGAUAUCAGUGCGGUGGGUGGACAAUAGCUUGGCAUGGAGACAGUGGAAAGAUAACCCUUGGUACAAGUAUAUUGGAGGCCAUACAAGAAUCCGUCAGUGUGGAAACUGAAGUUGUGUAUGAAGAAUGCCCAACAGAGGCUAUUAUUGAAAGCGGAGAAUUUUCUUAUGCUAUUGUUGCAGUUGGUGAGGUUCCUUAUGCUGAAGGGUUGGGAGAUAGAACUGGCCUUAGUAUCCCAUUUAAUGGUUCAGACCUGAUUACUCGUGUUGCUAGUAAAGUCCCUACUCUAGUGGUUGUUGUAUCUGGAAGGCCUUUGGUCAUUGAACCACAAGUUCUGGAGAAGAUAGAUGCUCUAGUUGCUGCCUGGCUACCUGGAAGUGAGGGCAUGGGAAUUACUGAUUGCCUCUUUGGAGAUCAUGAUUUCGUGGGUACAUUGCCUGUAUCGUGGUUUAGGUCUUCUGAUCAACUGCCUAUAAAUGUUGGAGAUGCUAACUAUGAUCCCUUAUUCCCUUUUGGAUAUGGGUUGAAAAUGUUCAGAAGUGAUGAAGGUUUAGCAUAA